RNAcentral lists this long non-coding RNA (779 nucleotides) under Androctonus crassicauda. Lineage: Eukaryota; Metazoa; Arthropoda; Arachnida; Scorpiones; Buthidae. The record is from RNAcentral.
UUCAAAUCCUGGUCCCGUGUCUCCCAUUUUUCAAGAGGGGUCCAGAACUGAUUUGUUGAAGCCCAUCCUUCAAUCUUUUGGCUAACACCAUCAUGAAUGCUAGCCAACUUGUGAUGGAAUCUAAAAGUGACUGUUAGCAGAUAGGUUUACCUGAAACUAAUCUAACUAGAUAAAUAAGAAAACAAUGUGAUUAAAAGAGACUGUAUAGUAUUUAUUUUAAUGUAACUGUUGCUUUGCAAAAUUUUUAUUAUGCCAUAAUGUUUUAUUUGAUUACACUAGUCUUAAGAAAAUGUUGAAUACAAUUUUAUUACUUUUAUAAAAAAAAAAAUAGUGAAUAUCAAGGCAAAUGGACUUCAUUUGCUAAGAUUAUAAUGUUCUGCCACUACAUUUAUGUAUUGGCAAAACAUCUACAAUCCACCAUAGAACAUUUACAGCACCACAAGUUUAUAUGCACAAAUGUACUUGGAAUGGUAACAGAACUGUGCACUACUAAAGGAUAUAAUUCCUGGAACAAUUUAAAUGUGGAAUUUUAUGAUUCAAAGCAAAUUGUUUUAAUUCUUUUAUGCUGCAACUUCAAAUAAUUUCAACUGAAAUGAUGCAAACUAGGGUCUGGUGUAGUUUAUAUGAUUCUAAAAUAUAUUUUAAUCUUCUAUAUUAAAUAAACAAUCGAACUAGAACAUAGAUGUGAAUCAUCAAAUUGAUUUUUCUAAAUAAUCUCUAACGAUGAUAGUUUAUCAUUAUAUUUUAAAUCAUUUUUCUGUUCUAAUAAUAAUUUUUAC